AUGUUGUCCUUUGCAGCCAGGUACUCAGGUCCCAGGAGGAUGGAACCACACAGUGCUGCAGCCCCUUUGCACCUGCCCUUUGUGCCCUGUGCUUUCGGCAGAGGCAUAUAUUGACAAUUUCUGGAGAAGAGUUUUCAAUGGCUUCUUCAGACACUGGGUGAAAGGUUGUCAAUUUACAGCCAGGACAGCCCCAAGUGUUAGAAAUUAACAGACUCAGCAGUCACUGGACGCAGUGGUUUUCAUGGUGACUGCCUUGUCCUGGCAAAGGUUAUUGAAGCAAGACUGAAGAGGCAUAAAUAUUCCAGAAAUAAGGUCCUGACUGCAGGGGCCGUUCCUGCAAUACUGUCUAUGAUCCUGUUUUCCAGGCACUUCUUUCCAUGCUAUGCUUGCAUCAUCAGUGCCCUUGAUGAAGAAGGGCGGGAGCUUUGACGUGGUGGAGACUUGCCAGAGAGACUCCUUUAGGGCUGCUCUGGCCCCUGCUAGACACCAGGGUUGGUGUGAAGAACACACAGAAGGUGGGGCCUGCCCUACUGUCCUUGCGACUGGUGAAAGAUGUCUUCAUUUCUGUGGCUGAGAGAGGUGUUGACUGGAGAUGCAGUCAGGGUCUGCGCUGUGACUGGGGAGGGUACCAGGGAGGAGACUGCUUCCCUGGGGAAGG
Molecule: long non-coding RNA, 658 nt
Filed under: Homo sapiens (human)
Lineage: Eukaryota; Metazoa; Chordata; Mammalia; Primates; Hominidae
Description: non-protein coding lnc-CMPK2-27:1
Source: RNAcentral